AUAUAUUAUGUUGAUAGUGAUAUGUGAGAUAAAAUAAAUUAUUAAUUUUAUUAAAAUUUAAAAAUAGAUUAUUUUUAGUAAUGUAAAUAGGCAUACAAAAAUUAAAAAUGAAAGUAAGAAAAUGCGGAAAAAAUAUGAGAGAUAUUUUAAAUUUUAAUCAAGAGAGAGAAUGAGCCGAUAUAAUAUUUAAUUAUGAUUUAAUCGAUGAAGGUUGGAAAAUAAAUGACACAUGUCAUAUUUUUAUAUUUUUAUAGAAGAUAAAAAUAUAAAAGAUAAACAUUAUUUGAUUAUUUAAAUAUAUUUUUCUUAAUAUAAAUAAUUUACAGUGAAAUAACAAUUUUUAAAGUUCAUACCAUUAAUUAUUAAUGGAUUGAUAGUUGAUGAACGGGACAAGUUUGCCCAUAAAUAUCGAUUUAAAUCCCUAAUUUAUGUUAGUUUUUUCAUGUGUAUUAUGAACUGUACAGGUUUAUUUAGAAGUAAAUAUUGAUUUAUAGAAAGUGAAAAAUUGAUUGAAGUUUAGAGCGAAAAAUGUUUGAAAGCAAAGGAAAAGUCGCGCAGAAAAUUUGGAAUUAAGAUAUAUAAUGAGGCUAUGUUUUAGGAAAUGGCCUUUGCGUGUGCCCUUCAUUUGUUGGUUAUCUAUCCAUUAUUUAAUUUGGUAUAUUACUAGUACUGUUUUAAUACCGGAAGUGUUUUUACUCUUUUAUUUAACUGUAUAUAUGCAAAGCAUGGAUAAAAUACAAACCGAUGGGCACAUGGGCUGUAUCUAUAUCUCUUUUUCUU
This 780-nucleotide long non-coding RNA is filed under the name Lathyrus oleraceus (garden pea). RNAcentral describes it as "Pisum sativum (pea) long non-coding RNA (PSAT_LNC029428)". The record is from RNAcentral. Lineage: Eukaryota; Viridiplantae; Streptophyta; Magnoliopsida; Fabales; Fabaceae.